AAGGAAGGAAAAGCAAAGACCAAAGCAGACACAGAACGCAUGGAAUACGCCACGGAAUACAGUACAAUCAUGAACUGGAGCAUCAUCGAUCUGGAAGUCUGCGACGCCCGGACGUCAAGCCUUCGAGCAGCUGCUCCAAUCGUCGUAUUAUUAUUCUUAUUGUCGUUGGCAUCGUUGCUGUCGCUGCCAUUGCAGUUCCUCUCGGCAUCGUUCUUCCGCUGGUCUUAGAAGACAAAGAGUACAGUCCACCAAACGUCACAGUUGAAGUAGAGGGCGUCACUGCAGCUCACGUGGGCGACCACGUGACAGUCUGGUGCAGGGUGAGCAACAUUCACACGUUGUCCUCCAUUGAUUUCCUGUACAACCGGUCGGUCGUCGCUUCCUUCAGCAUCAAAACUGAAAACGUGUCCAACUUACACCCGAGGUUUACGCUCGCGGUAAUCUUAAGGAGCAUGAUGGGUACAGCCUCAAUCUGACCUUUGACAAAUGUCACGUGCAGUGACGCGGGCAGGUACACGUGUCUGGCGCGAGACGAGAGGAAGGAUGUCGAGAAAUGGACGAGACUGAGUGUCAUGGUA
Long non-coding RNA from Pomacea canaliculata, 578 nucleotides. RefSeq lists it as uncharacterized. The record is from RefSeq and is a predicted model, not a curated record. The transcript is spliced from 3 exons. NCBI's taxonomy places the organism in Eukaryota, Metazoa, Mollusca, Gastropoda, Architaenioglossa, Ampullariidae.